Molecule: ribosomal RNA, 477 nt
Filed under: uncultured bacterium
Lineage: Bacteria
Description: partial 16S ribosomal RNA
Rfam family: Bacterial small subunit ribosomal RNA
Source: RNAcentral
GACGAACGCUGGCGGCGUGCUUAACACAUGCAAGUCGAACGGUGAAGCGCCUUCCUUUUUGGUGGGUGUGGAUGAGUGGCGAACGGGUGAGUAACACGUGAGUAACCUGCCCCCUUCUUCUGGAUAACCGCAUGAAAGUGUGGCUAAUACGGGAUAUUCUGGGUCUGUCGCAUGAUGGGUCUGGGAAAGAUAUUGUUUCGGUGGGGGAUGGACUCGCGGCCUAUCAGCUUGUUGGUGGGGUGAUGGCCUACCAAGGCGGUGACGGGUAGCCGGCCUGAGAGGGGGACCGGCGACAGGGGGACUGCGGUGCGGGCCAGGCGGGUGCGGGAGGCAGCAGUGGGGAAUGUUGCACGAUGGGCGGACGCCUGAUGGAGCAGCGCCGCGGGCGGGAGGACGGCCUUCGGGUUGUAGACCGCUUUCGCCGGUGACGAAGCGUGAGUGACGGGAAUGGGUAAAGAAGCACCGGCUAGCUACGUG